Molecule: small nuclear RNA, 66 nt
Organism: Homo sapiens (human)
Lineage: Eukaryota; Metazoa; Chordata; Mammalia; Primates; Hominidae
Source: Ensembl
GAGUUGUUACAGCUCUUUUAGAAUUUGUGUAGCAGGUUUUCUGGUUUUCACCAGAAACCAACCUAC